GCUCCAAUGGCGAAAUUGGUUGAAACGCGUGGGUUUUAGAAACCCAUACCCUAGUGGAAAACGUUGUAGGUUCGAGUCCUACUUGGAGUAC
RNAcentral lists this transfer RNA (91 nucleotides) under uncultured marine phage. Its description in RNAcentral is "tRNA-Leu". It matches the Rfam family "tRNA". From Rfam's summary of the family: Transfer RNA (tRNA) molecules are approximately 80 nucleotides in length. Their secondary structure includes four short double-helical elements and three loops (D, anti-codon, and T loops). The record is from RNAcentral.